Molecule: long non-coding RNA, 1539 nt
Organism: Oncorhynchus keta (chum salmon)
Lineage: Eukaryota; Metazoa; Chordata; Actinopteri; Salmoniformes; Salmonidae
Exons: 5
Source: RefSeq, a predicted model, not a curated record
UCUGAUCUGUCCUGUUCUGUUGUGUUCUGAUCUGUUCUCUUCUGAUCUGUUCUCCUCUGAUCUGUUGUUCUGUUCAGGCUUACGUAUAAGUACAAGGGGUUGUUUAGUAGUCUGAAAAAGACAUUCAAGUGUAGUUUACUUUUCUCUUAACUGGCUCCUCUUUAAAGGGAGUGUUUAUCUCUCUUUACCACUGCAAGGGUUUGUGUUGUUUCCCAAAGCAAUAUUCUAGGUUUUACUCCCACCUUUAAGACUCACGAUGUUUUCCAAACCCACACUGUUUUCACAGCUUCAUAGCAUGAGCAAAGAUGAGUCACAUCCUGUCAACAGAAAGUUGAAACCCUGCCACAUGGUAGAGGAGAUGGACUGUCUAGUUGAAACCCUGUCACAUGGUAGAGGAGAUGGACUGUCUAGUUGAAACCCUGUCACAUGGUAGAGGAGAUGGACUGUCUAGUUGAAACCCUGUCACAUGGUAGAGGAGGUGGACUGUCUAGUUGAAACCCUGUCACAUGGUAGAGGAGGUGGACUGUCUAGUUGAAACCCUGUCACAUGGUAGAGGAGGUGGACUGUCUAGUUGAAACCCUGUCACAUGGUAGAGGAGGUGGACUGUCUAGUUGAAACCCUGUCACAUGGUAGAGGAGGUGGACUGUCUAGUUGAAACCCUGUCACAUGGUAGAGGAGGUGGACUGUCUAGUUGAAACCCUGUCACAUGGUAGAGGAGAUGGACUGUCUAGUUGAAACCCUGUCACAUGGUAGAGGAGGUGGACUGUCUAGUUGAAACCCUGUCACAUGGUAGAGGAGGUGGACUGUCUAGUUGAAACCCUGUCACAUGGUAGAGGAGGUGGACUGUCUAGUUGAAACCCUGUCACAUGGUAGAGGAGGUGGACUGUCUAGUUGAAACCAUGUCACAUGGUAGAGGAGGUGGACUGUGUAGUUGAAACCCUGUCACAUGGUAGAGGAGGUGGACUGUCUAGUUGAAACCCUGUCACAUGGUAGAGGAGGUGGACUGUCUAGUUGAAACCCUGUCACAUGGUAGAGGAGGUGGACUGUCUAGUUGAAACCCUGUCACAUGGUAGAGGAGGUGGACUGUCUAGUUGAAACCCUGUCACAUGGUAGAGGAGGUGUACUGUCUAGUUGAAACCCUGUCACAUGGUAGAGGAGGUGGACUGUCUAGUUGAAACCCUGUCACAUGGUAGAGGAGGUGGACUGUCUAGUUGAAACCCUGUCACAUGGUAGAGGAGGUGGACUGUCUAGUUGAAACCCUGUCACAUGGCAGAGGAGGUGGACUGUAUGUUGAAUGAUGAAAUUAGAGGCUCUGCGACGGCAGGAGUGGAACUCUUCUGUUUGCUUUGGCCGUGUCAGCUGCUGAGUCACAGUUUUAUAAUGUUAGUAGAAUCCUCUGCUAUUUGUGUUUCUUCACCUUCAUCCAGUCACUCAACACCUUGGUAUCCAGCCAGGGUUUUCACUCUCUCUUCUGUUCUCCGAGUCCAUCAGCCUUUUCAGCUCUCCCACUUUACCUUAGUUAGAAGAGUUCUGGGCUGU